This 807-nucleotide ribosomal RNA is filed under the name Staphylococcus haemolyticus. Its description in RNAcentral is "partial 23S ribosomal RNA". It matches the Rfam family "Bacterial large subunit ribosomal RNA", at positions 1156 to 1965 of the family's 2925-position model. The record is from RNAcentral. Lineage: Bacteria; Bacillati; Bacillota; Bacilli; Caryophanales; Staphylococcaceae.
ACACUGCGCCGAAAAUGUACCGGGGCUAAACAUAUUACCGAAGCUGUGGAUUGUCCGUAGGACAAUGGUAGGAGAGCGUUCUAAGGGCGUUGAAGCAUGAUCGCAAGGACAUGUGGAGCGCUUAGAAGUGAGAAUGCCGGUGUGAGUAGCGAAAGACGGGUGAGAAUCCCGUCCACCGAUUGACUAAGGUUUCCAGAGGAAGGCUCGUCCGCUCUGGGUUAGUCGGGUCCUAAGCUGAGGCCGACAGGCGUAGGCGAUGGAUAACAGGUUGAUAUUCCUGUACCACCUAGCAUCGUUUUAAUCGAUGGGGGGACGCAGUAGGAUAGGCGAAGCGUACGAUUGGAUUGUACGUCUAAGCAGUGAGAUUGAGUGUUAGGCAAAUCCGGCACUCUUAAGAUUGAGCUGUGAUGGGGAGAGGAAAUUGUUUCCUCGAGUCGUUGAUUUCACACUGCCGAGAAAAGCCUCUAGAUAGAUAAUAGGUGCCCGUACCGCAAACCGACACAGGUAGUCAAGAUGAGAAUUCUAAGGUGAGCGAGCGAACUCUCGUUAAGGAACUCGGCAAAAUGACCCCGUAACUUCGGGAGAAGGGGUGCUCUUUAGGGUGCAAGCCCAGAAGAGCCGCAGUGAAUAGGCCCAAGCGACUGUUUAUCAAAAACACAGGUCUCUGCUAAACCGUAAGGUGAUGUAUAGGGGCUGACGCCUGCCCGGUGCUGGAAGGUUAAGAGGAGUAGUUAGCUUCUGCGAAGCUACGAAUCGAAGCCCCAGUAAACGGCGGCCGUAACUAUAACGGUCCUAAGGUAGCGAAAU